AGCACUUUUAUUUAGCUUUUAUACUUUCGUAUUUUCAUAGUUUUUUAUUAGUCAACAUAUCCUAAAACAAUGAAUAUGUUUACUAUGAGCCAUAUAUAAAGCAACAUUUUUUUUAGGACAGCGAUUAUGUUUUUAAAGUUCUUGUCCCAGAGACAAUCAUUUACCUUUUUGCUAAGGUUGAGCAAAUAUCAAGAAUAAAAAUACUGAUAAGUCACUCUCACAUAUGGUGUUAGAAAAACUAAAAAAAUCACAGAUAGAAACUGGAGACCCAACCAAAAACUUUAACUAAUUUAGAUAUGUCUAAGG
Long non-coding RNA from Hydra vulgaris (swiftwater hydra), 306 nucleotides. RefSeq lists it as uncharacterized. The record is from RefSeq and is a predicted model, not a curated record. Lineage: Eukaryota; Metazoa; Cnidaria; Hydrozoa; Anthoathecata; Hydridae.